GUGGGGAAUAUUGGACAAUGGGCGAAAGCCUGAUCCAGCCAUGCCGCGUGUGUGAAGAAGGUCUUCGGAUUGUAAAGCACUUUAAGUUGGGAGGAAGGGCAGUAAGUUAAUACCUUGCUGUUUUGACGUUACCGACAGAAUAAGCACUGACUAACUUCGUGCCAGCAGCCGCGGUAAUACGAAGGGUGCAAGCGUUAAUCGGAAUUACUGGGCGUAAAGCGCGCGUAGGUGGUUUUGUAAGUUGGAGGUGAAAUCCCCGGGCUCAACCUGGGAACUGCCUCCAAAACUGCAUGACUAGAGUACGGUAGAGGGUAGUGGAAUUUCCUGUGUAGCGGUGAAAUGCGUAGAUAUAGGAAGGAACACCAGUGGCGAAAGCGACUACCUGGACUGAUACUGACACUGAGGUGCGAAAGCGUGGGGAGCAAACAGGAUUAGAAACCCCGGUAGUCC
This 450-nucleotide ribosomal RNA is filed under the name uncultured bacterium. RNAcentral describes it as "partial 16S ribosomal RNA". It matches the Rfam family "Bacterial small subunit ribosomal RNA", at positions 354 to 796 of the family's 1533-position model. The record is from RNAcentral.